GCGGGGGUGGCAGAGCCAGGUUAAAUGCGCGAGGCUCAAGAUCAGCAAGAGAUGAGCCACCUCGUGGGCGUAGGCCCUACGUGGGUUCGAAUCCCACCCCCCGCA
Molecule: transfer RNA, 105 nt
Filed under: marine sediment metagenome
Rfam family: tRNA
About the family: Transfer RNA (tRNA) molecules are approximately 80 nucleotides in length.
Source: RNAcentral